RNAcentral lists this transfer RNA (70 nucleotides) under Stenocephus fraxini. RNAcentral describes it as "tRNA-Ser". Lineage: Eukaryota; Metazoa; Arthropoda; Insecta; Hymenoptera; Cephidae. The record is from RNAcentral.
AGUUAAUGAACUUGAAAUAAGUAUAUGUUUUGAAAACAUAAUAUAGUAUUUAAAAUUAUACUAUUAACUU